GCCAUGAGAGAUAUCCAAUUCUUUAAAAGAUGGAGGCAAUGGUGGCCACAUAAAAACAGGCCUUUCAUUGGGCACUGGUGGUGGUGCUGCUUCCCCUUUCAGAACCUGCAAAACUAUUUUCAUUGAGGGCCUCUUGUGUGGGUUUGGGUGGCAACAUGCCAAUCCCAGAAUAAACGCACACUCCAUAUCUUCUGUUGCGAAGUCCCCAUUCAAUCUGGAAUCUGCAGCACUGAGUAUCCUUCCCUUGCUAUAGAGGUCCCAUACCCAAUGCACGAUGUUACUGUUGUAGUCAUCCUGCUGGCUUUGAC
This 308-nucleotide unclassified non-coding RNA is filed under the name Hevea brasiliensis (rubber tree). Lineage: Eukaryota; Viridiplantae; Streptophyta; Magnoliopsida; Malpighiales; Euphorbiaceae. The record is from RNAcentral.